This is an RNA transcript of Cyprinodon tularosa, 5244 nucleotides long. It is a transcript of the gene named sema domain, seven thrombospondin repeats (type 1 and type 1-like), transmembrane domain (TM) and short cytoplasmic domain, (semaphorin) 5A, with no coding region annotated. NCBI's taxonomy places the organism in Eukaryota, Metazoa, Chordata, Actinopteri, Cyprinodontiformes, Cyprinodontidae. The record is from RefSeq and is a predicted model, not a curated record. The transcript is spliced from 23 exons.
GCUCCUGAGCUGCGCAGCAUUGUGGACACCACCAGCAGCAGCAGCUCAUCUGGCUGUCUUUCCCUUUGCAUCAGCAGCCAUUACAGCUGACACAUAAAACUUUUUUUUUGCGUUUUCAAGCUGCAAGUGUUUUUUUUUGUGUGUGUUGUUUUUACCUCUCCGUUACAGAGUGGAGGCAUUCCUUGCGUGACAGUGGGUGUCCGAUUACCAACCGUGUGCCGCGCGGCUGGGACCCGUCAAGGAGCGCUCCCUGCAGAGACAGAGGACUGUUUUAUUCUUAUUAUUUCUAACGUGAUCGACACUCUUAAAGACACACAAGCUCUAAGGAUACUUCAUCUCCAGCCUGUCUGUAUUCUAUGUUACCUCACCACUCUUCUCUCCGGGACAAGACACGCAGCUCAGCUCAAUACUAGAUGAACGGGAGUUGGACACUUUACUCGGUGUUUCCUAUGGUCUUGGUCUCCGAGGCCUGAGGAGAAACAAGCCAAGCCCAGGCCCCCAUGGGACGCCAUUUUACCCAGCAUGCACUGCUGCUGCUGCAGUGCAUGUUGGUCCUACAUCUUUGCAGUGUGGCCAGUAGGAGAGGACCGGUGCUACUGCCUGAAUCUCCCUGCCACAAGACGGAGCACCCCCUGAUCCCACAUUCAGAGAUGGAGCCAUGGAUCUUCAGGUUCAAAGCAGAGGGCACGGUGGAUUAUUCACAACUGACCUUUGACCCUGGCCAGAAUGAAUUGAUUGUCGGUGCCAGAAAUCACCUCUUCAGGCUUAACCUUGAAGACCUGACAUUAAUCCAGGAGGCUGAAUGGCACUGUGAUGAGUUCACCAAGGGAGCCUGCUUCAGCCGUGGAAAAUCCGAGGAGGAGUGCCAGAACUACAUUAGGGUACUACUGGUUAAUGGGAACAGACUGUUUACGUGUGGAACCAAUGCAUUUACCCCCAUCUGCACCAACCGUACGCUGACUAACCUAACAGAGAUCCAUGAUCAGAUCAGCGGAAUGGCCCGAUGUCCCUACAACCCUCUGCAUAACUCCACCGCCCUAAUCACGUCUAGUGGGGAGCUCUAUGCCGCCACCGCCAUGGACUUUUCUGGCCGAGACCCGGCCAUCUACCGCAGCCUUGGCGGACUGCCGCCCUUACGCACCGCACAGUACAACUCGAAAUGGCUUAAUGAGCCAAAUUUCGUCUCCUCUUAUGACAUCGGCAACUUCACUUACUUCUUCUUCCGAGAAAAUGCAGUGGAGCAUGACUGUGGAAGGACUGUGUUUUCCCGAGCCGGCCGCGUCUGCAAAAAUGACAUUGGUGGACGCUUCCUACUGGAAGACACGUGGACCACCUUUAUGAAAGCCAGGCUGAACUGCUCCAGACCUGGAGAAAUCCCCUUCAAUUACAACGAGCUGCAGGGGACCUUCUACCUGCCAGAGCUUGAGCUGCUCUAUGGGAUUUUUACAACUAAUGUAAACAGCAUUGCUGCAUCUGCAGUGUGUGCCUUCAAUCUCAGUGCCAUAUCCCAAGUUUUUAAUGGACCCUUCAAGUACCAGGAAAGUUCACGAUCAGCUUGGCUGCCCUACCCAAACCCCAACCCAAACUUUCAGUGCGGCACCAUCAACUCUGGCUCUUAUGUGAACCUAACUCAACGAAACCUGCAGGACGCACAGAAGUUUCUACUGAUGCACGAGGUGGUCCAGCCUGUGGUUCCUGUUCCUUAUUUCAUGGAAGACAAUGUCCGCUUCAGUCAUAUUGCAGUUGAUGUGGUGCAAGGGAAAGACACACUUUUCCACAUCAUUUAUUUGGCCACUGAUUAUGGCACUAUCAGAAAAGUGCUGUCUCCUCUCAACCAGUCCACAGGGAGCUGCCUAUUGGAAGAGAUCGAGUUGUUCCCGCCCAGGAAGAGGCAGCCGAUACGGAGCUUGCUGAUCCUGCACAGCCGCAGCGAGCUUUACGUGGGCUUUAGGGACCAGGUCAUCAAGAUCCCUCUGAAGAGGUGUAGCUACCACAAGAGCAGAGAAGCAUGUGUAGGAGCCAGGGACCCAUACUGUGGAUGGGAUUUGUUGCUGAAAAAAUGCACCACUCUGGAAAAAAGUGUCAGAAUGAGCCAGUGGGAGCAGAGCAUCACAAAAUGUCCGGUCCGUAAUGUCACGGUCGAUGGAGGUUUUGGUGCUUGGUCAGGCUGGUCCGCCUGCACCCACAAUGAUGGAGGCAGCGCAGGGGCUUGUCUUUGUCGAACGCGGGCCUGCGAUAACCCUGCCCCUCAAUGUGGUGGCCAGAAGUGCUAUGGGAUCAGUGUUGAAGUUGCCAACUGCUCCAGAAAUGGAGCUUGGACUCCCUGGACCUCCUGGUCGCCUUGCAGCACCAGCUGUGGCAUAGGCUUCCAGGUGCGUCAACGCUCGUGCAGUAACCCAACCCCUCGCCAUGGUGGUAGAGUGUGUGUAGGACAGAACCGUGAGGAGAGGUACUGUAAUGAACACCUGCCCUGCCCUCCUCAUGUGUACUGGUCGGCCUGGUCGUCUUGGGAACGUUGUAAUGUGCCCUGUGGCGGAGGCAUCCAAUCACGACGUAGAACCUGUGAGAAUGGCGAUGACUGUCCAGGGUGUGGUCAGGAGUACCAAUCUUGCAACACUCUGCCGUGUCCAGACCUAAAAAAGACGACACCCUGGACUCCGUGGACCCCGGUCAAUAUUUCUGACAAUGGAGGCCACUAUGAGCAGCGUUUCCGCUACACCUGCAAAGCGCGGAUCCCCGACCCAAGUCUCCUAGAAGUAGGAAGACAGAGGAUUGAAAUGCGCUAUUGCUCCAGCGACGGGUCCACUGGCUGCUCCACUGACGGUGAAGUACUUCGCCUGGGGAGAAUCUCUGGCCACAUCGUGAAUGGUGGCUGGUCAUCUUGGAGUUCUUGGUCUCAGUGUAGCAGAGACUGCAGUCGGGGAAUUCGGAGCCGAAAGAGGACCUGCAGCAGCCCAGAGCCACGUUAUGGGGGUCAGACCUGCCUGGGCCCGGCACAGGAGUUCCAGGAGUGUAACGUCACUCCCUGUCCAGUGGAUGGCAGUUGGUCCUGCUGGUCAUCAUGGUCUAAGUGCUCUGUGACCUGUGGAGGAGGACACUACAUGAGGACCAGAACCUGCAAUAACCCUCCCCCAGCGUACGGAGGAGACAUCUGCCUGGGACUCCAUACAGAGGAAGCACUAUGCAACACGCAGGCUUGUCCAGAGAGCUGGUCCAGCUGGUCUGAGUGGUCCCACUGUGACUCCAGCGGCGCCCAGCUGCGAGUGCGUCACUGCAAUGUCCUUUUCCCCACUGGUAACCAGUGCUCAGGAAACAGCAGCGAGACGAGGCCCUGCUCUCCUGACUCCAACUUUAUACCAGAAGUCUCCAUUGCACGGUCCAGUCAGGAGGAGAGGCACUGCGGAGAUUUCAACCUAUUCCACAUGAUCGCUGUGGGCCUCAGCAGCUCGAUCCUUGGCUGCCUGGUCACCCUGCUCGUCUACUCCUACUGCCAGCAUUACCAGCAGCAGUCUCAUGAUGCCACCGUCAUCCACCCCAUCUCUGCCGCACCGCUCAAUACCAGCAUCACCAACCACAUCAACAAGCUGGACAAAUAUGACACGGUGGAAGCCAUUAAGCCAGACGUGUCGGUUCUCUUGCCUCUGGACGACCCUGCAAUGCACCAGCCUCUCUCUGCUAACAUGGGGGUCUCUAUGCGUGGACUGGAGAUUUUCUACUAACCAACCUCCUGACCUCAACAACAUCCCGCUUCCUGACUCCCCACACCAAACCCAAACAACUCUUUGACCCAUCAUCCAGUACUUCUUCCUCUUCCCCAAUGUGCCCUAUCCUUCCACCUCCUGGUUUCAACAAAAAUAAUCUGAUUCUGGAGGAAAGGAAUAAGUACUUCAACCCACAGCUUGCCGGGAAGACAUAUACCAAUGCAUACUUCUCUGAUCUCAACACCUAUGAUGACUAUUAACCCCAGACUUUUCUAGCGGAGAUCAUUACCCUGUUGUCAAUUAUGACUGUUUCAACACUCCUCGUGCUUUGCAUCAGAUCUGUAAAAGAUUAUGUAUGUGGUUCAGUCCCACUAUGAAACUCGAUGGCAGCUGGUAUGUAAUGAAAACACACUCUGGUUUUGCCCACUAAAGGAAAUGCCUACUUUCUCUCUGGUGCCUUGGGGUACAUUUGGAAAAUUUGGACUCACAAAAGAGAAAUAAACAACUGGAUCUCCGUUGCUGCAGACACUUUGGGGAGUGUCAUCCCAUCUAAGGUUUUUUUGUUUUUUUUCUGAUGCCCCCUAAGACAGCCCUGUAUGUGUAAUGAUGGAAGAGGACUACAAAUUGCUUUGCAUGACUUCAUCUGAUGUGUUUGCUUUGUUGUUCCGCUGCAAUUUGCAUGAUGGAUCACAUUCCAGGGUUCCAGAGACAGUUUUUUUAUGCUGCUCUUGUUUAUGGGAUUAGCUUCAGAAGUCUUAAAGCAAGUCUUCUGUUGGAAUGACCAAUGGUUUCUAACAUUUGCUACAACAGCAAUGUUCAAUCUGAAAGUUGGAUCAGUGUCCAGCUCCAGUCGUAGAAUCAGGAUGUAGAUAUUUGAUGUCUGUGAACAUAGUUUAUCCUAUUGUUUUACUUUGUUCUGUUGUUUUUCCAGCAGCUAAAAAAGCAAGCUAUCAGUGAAAAAAAAAAAGAUUUUCCCUUUCUUUGUGUUUUUGUACAGAAAAUUAUGUUUGAAGCCUCUGUCUAGAUUUUCUAUGCAUUCAUUCAUUGUUUUAAGCAUUUAGAGAUUAUCUUUUUAGAAGAAAACAGAAUUGUGUCUAUGUUUUGCCAAUUAUUUGAGAGCAUUCACAGAAAUGAAUUAAGUUGUUACCAUUGUACUUUUUAUAAAUAUUUUGUAAAAGAAAACUAAAAAAAAAAAAAAACAAACAUUGUUUUUGAAUUUUGACAGUGUUUACUAUUUCUUUAGCUUCUGAGUUAAAUAUGUUUGUGAAAGCAGGAUGUUAUUGGCAUUAGAUGAACAGGUGGAGGGUAGCAGCAGCUUCAGCCAUCUAUGUACCGUAACCUUACUGAGUUAUUUUCUAUUGGGUUCCUUUUGCCUCAGUUCCAACUAACUUCUUCUACAUGUUUGCUUGUGUUUUGUGCAUAAAUUAAAAUAGCUUCUUACAAGACUUGUCUAUUCUGAAUAAGAGGUUCAAAGUCUGUACAAAUACUUGUAAUGUUUUGUUUGAAAUUUGUUCUAAUAAAUGUUUUUUUUUUAUUAUUAUUA